RNAcentral lists this unclassified non-coding RNA (2331 nucleotides) under Harpegnathos saltator (Jerdon's jumping ant). RNAcentral's name for it is "uncharacterized LOC112590788, transcript variant X1". Lineage: Eukaryota; Metazoa; Arthropoda; Insecta; Hymenoptera; Formicidae. The record is from RNAcentral.
UCCGUGCGGCGCUAUAGAACGCGCGCAAGUGUCACUCGUGCGGGGAAAAAGAGUAACGAUUUAGUAAUCGUUGGAAGCGCUCACAGAGCUCACGGAUAUACGAUCGCUAGUUCAUAGCUUGAUCAUUCUUCCAUUGUCGUAUGUGACACCGCGAUUUUUACACGCGAUCGAGAGUGUGCGAGGGCAGGCAGGCAGGAGCAUCGGCUCCGUUCGGCCCACACAUACACAUACGAGUCCCGCUGUGACUCGUAUGUCGUGCGAGAGCAAAAAUUGUUUUUUGUAUCUUCGAGGCACAUAAGCCGUACCUGCGAUUCACGUGCUCUGCAACUGGCAGGCACGUGCGCAAUAAAGAGAAGAAGAACACGCCUAGGUUAAUUUAGAAACCUACCCUCCACUUGUAAUCGGCGAGAGAGCAAGAAGAUACAAAAAUCCUAAAAGCCGAGCCCAGUGUGAGGCGCCCUCUGCACAACCGUGCACAUGAACUACGUUGCCAAUGUCCACACCUCUUUUCUGAUUUCCCCCACCACGCACGCACUCAUAGCCGACUCAGAGUAUCCAUGUGGACCACAGACUUCUAUAUAACAACUAGACUGCUAACUUCUUAUAUUUUGACUUUACAUUUCUGUCCCCCAAAAGUAUGUGCUAAAAGUGCGUUGCUGCGCGUGCGCCAAAUAAGCGCACAAGGAAUGUUGUUUACAUUGUGAGCAUAUGGCCGCAUAGUGUGUAGUGUGUAGUGUAGUGUAAGAAUUUGGGAAAAUAUAAAAGAAGUCAACAUGCCGCACAAGUGUAUCAUAGAUGAAUGUCAAAAUGUACAAAGAAAAAACUGUGGAAUUUCUUUCUUUAAUUUUAUUAGAUAAAUGGACUACAGCUAUUAAAAAUAAAAUACACUGCCCUAUAACUACAAGUAGUAUAAUUUGGGAGCGACAUUUUAAAAAAGAAUUUCUUUCUGGACGAGAAAGAAAAAGAUUAAAAAUAAAUGCAAUUCCAACAGAAUUUUUAAUGCUACAAACAGACCCAUUGAAAGAAUUAAAUAAUCUAAUAAAUUUAUAUGGACAUGUUAAUACUGACAGCAGAGAAGUAAUUGUCGCAAUAGCUGCAGGUUCUACCAUGUGUAGCAUGGAUGAAAAUAUUGCACCUGAUCUUACUGACAGCAGAGAAGUAAUUGUUGCAACAGCUGCAGGUUCUACCAUGUGUAGCAUGGAUGAAAAUAUUGCACUUGAUCUUACUGACAGCAGAGAAGUAACUGUCGCAACAGCUGUAGGUCCUACCAUUUGUAGCAUGGAUGAAAAUAUUGUACCUGAUCUUACAGAAGCAGAAAGAACUGUUGGGAAAGAUGCAAAUUUUAACAUGGAUGUACAUAUUGUAUCUGAUCCUGCAGAAGAUAAGCCACAUAAUUUAUUAUUACAAAUUGAAACUCUAAAAGCAGAAAAUGAAUGUUUGACAGCUCUGAUGGAAUCGUUGAAAAACGAUCGUAAGAAACAAUUGGAAAAUGUAGCAGAUACUUAUCAGCGGUUGUUACAAGAGCAAAAAAAGUUAAUGAAAAAUAAAUUAACAUCUGCUUUAAAUAAAGUCAAUUUAAAUUAAAUAAAGUCAAAUUAUUAAAUCGGCAAAGGAAAAGAUCAAAUGUUAAAAUAGCCAAUCUGCUAAAAGAAGCCAAGAACAAAAAAAUAUUACAUGAGGAAUCAUUUGAUAUUUUAAGUAGUCAGUUUCAAACUACAUUCAAACAUAUUAUAAACAACGAAAAAUUGAACAGAAACAAGGCCUCUCGUGGCAGGCGUUACAACGAAGAGGUAUGUUUGCACGUCUCUUCCUUUUUUUCAUUUGCAUUUUAUGCCUCUUCUAGUAAAAGGUAAGUAUUUUUUCAUAUCUCGUAUAUUACAACUAACAAGUAUGUUACAUGUUACAUUGUGUUUGCUGAGUUAUAAUUGUGAUAACUUGGAGCGCUGCAAUUUCAUCACAAAAAAUGCAUGAAAACCAUUUUACAUAAGCAAGUAUACAUAAUCAAUACUUAGAUAAUUAUGCAUUUAAUUGUAACAAGUUGGGUUAUCUUCUUUAUCUUCUUUAACUCCACACAGUGCAAAAUCUCUAAAGGAUGUCUACAGAUUGUUCUGCGGUUGAUCGUUAGGAUGUCAGCAGAACAUACUUUAGAACGUUUUGUGGAGAUUUAUGUUCUUUGGAAUAAGUUAGCCUUUUUCCUUACUAAUUAUUUUAUAAUUCACUUAUUAAAUACUAUUUACUGGAAUAUUUCUUAAAUAAGGAAUAUUUCUUUAAUAAAACACUUUUUCUUAACAUUUUAUAUGCAAGCAAUAUUGUAAUUUACUAUUGCAUUAA